UACGUAGGGGGCAAGCGUUGUUCGGAAUUACUGGGCGUAAAGCGUGCGCAGGCGGUUCGCCGUGUCCGAUGUGAAAGCCCCGGGCUUAACCUGGGAACGGCAUUGGAAACUGGCGGGCUGGAGUGUGGCAGAGGGGGGUGGAAUUCCACGUGUAGCAGUGAAAUGCGUAGAGAUGUGGAGGAACACCGAUGGCGAAGGCAGCCCCCUGGGCCAACACUGACGCUCAUGCACGAAAGCGUGGGGAGCAAACAGG
Molecule: ribosomal RNA, 253 nt
Filed under: uncultured bacterium
Lineage: Bacteria
Description: partial 16S ribosomal RNA
Rfam family: Bacterial small subunit ribosomal RNA
Source: RNAcentral